Triticum aestivum (bread wheat) is the source of this 135-nucleotide non-coding RNA. NCBI's taxonomy places the organism in Eukaryota, Viridiplantae, Streptophyta, Magnoliopsida, Poales, Poaceae. The record is from Rfam.
AAACUACUAUCUCCGUCCCAAAAUUCUUGUCUUAUAUUUAUCUAGAUACGGAUGUAUCUAACAGUAAAACGUAAAUAGAUACAUCCGUAUGUAGACAAAUCUAAAACAAGAAUUUUGAGACGGAGGGAGUAAUAU